UACGUAGGGAGCAAGCGUUGUCCGGAAUCAUUGGGCGUAAAGCGCGCGUAGGCGGCCCUGCAAGUCCGCUGUGAAAGUCAAAGGCUCAACCUUUGAAAGCCGGUGGAUACUGCAGGGCUAGAGUCCGGAAGAGGCAAGUGGAAUUCCUGGUGUAGCGGUGGAAUGCGCAGAUAUCAGGAGGAACACCGAUAGCGAAGGCAGCUCGCUGGGACGGUACUGACGCUAAGGCGCGAAAGCGUGGGGAGCAAACAGG
This 253-nucleotide ribosomal RNA is filed under the name uncultured bacterium. RNAcentral describes it as "partial 16S ribosomal RNA". It matches the Rfam family "Bacterial small subunit ribosomal RNA", at positions 524 to 776 of the family's 1533-position model. The record is from RNAcentral.